This 484-nucleotide ribosomal RNA is filed under the name uncultured bacterium. RNAcentral describes it as "partial 16S ribosomal RNA". It matches the Rfam family "Bacterial small subunit ribosomal RNA", at positions 30 to 507 of the family's 1533-position model. The record is from RNAcentral.
AUUGAACGCUGGCGGCAGGCCUAACACAUGCAAGUCGAGCGGAUGAAGGGAGCUUGCUCCUGGAUUCAGCGGCGGACGGGUGAGUAAUGCCUAGGAAUCUGCCUGGUAGUGGGGGAUAACGUCCGGAAACGGGCGCUAAUACCGCAUACGUCCUGAGGGAGAAAGUGGGGGAUCUUCGGACCUCACGCUAUCAGAUGAGCCUAGGUCGGAUUAGCUAGUUGGUGGGGUAAAGGCCUACCAAGGCGACGAUCCGUAACUGGUCUGAGAGGAUGAUCAGUCACACUGGAACUGAGACACGGUACAGACUCCUACGGGAGGCAGCAGUGGGGAAUAUUGGACGAUGGGCGAAAGCCUGAUCCAGCCAUGCCGCGUGUGUGAAGAAGGUCUUCGGAUUGUAAAGCACUUUAAGUUGGGAGGAAGGGCAGUAAGUUAAUACCUUGCUGUUUUGACGUUACCAACAGAAUAAGCACCGGCUAACUUCGUG